RNAcentral lists this ribosomal RNA (186 nucleotides) under Psathyrella delineata. Its description in RNAcentral is "partial 25S large subunit ribosomal RNA". It matches the Rfam family "Eukaryotic large subunit ribosomal RNA", at positions 1656 to 1843 of the family's 3401-position model. Lineage: Eukaryota; Fungi; Basidiomycota; Agaricomycetes; Agaricales; Psathyrellaceae. The record is from RNAcentral.
AACUUGGAGACGUUGGCAGGAGCCCCGGGAAGAGUUCUCUUUUCUCCUUAACAGUCUAUAACCCUGAAAUCAGUUUGUCUGGAGCUAGGGUUCAAUGGCUGGUAGAGCACAGCAACUCUGUUGUGUCCGGUGCGCUCUUGACAACCCNUGAAAAUCCAAGGGAGUGAAUAAUUUUCACACCUGGUC